RNAcentral lists this ribosomal RNA (292 nucleotides) under uncultured bacterium. RNAcentral's name for it is "partial 16S ribosomal RNA". It matches the Rfam family "Bacterial small subunit ribosomal RNA", at positions 505 to 796 of the family's 1533-position model. The record is from RNAcentral.
GUGUCAGCAGCCGCGGUAAUACGGAGGGUGCAAGCGUUAUCCGGAAUCAUUGGGUUUAAAGGGUCCGCAGGCGGAUUUAUAAGUCAGUGGUGAAAGCCUACAGCUUAACUGUAGAACUGCCAUUGAUACUGUAAGUCUUGAAUUUGGUCGAAGUGGGCGGAAUAUGACAUGUAGCGGUGAAAUGCAUAGAUAUGUCAUAGAACACCGAUAGCGAAGGCAGCUCACUAGGCCAACAUUGACGCUCAUGGACGAAAGCGUGGGGAGCAAACAGGAUUAGAUACCCCCGUAGUCC